GACUAGGCCUAGAUUAGGAGAGAGUCCUUCAGAGAUAUCUCUGAAGAUGGUAUCUCAACUGUUCACCAUCAGUCACAGGUCACACUCCUGGUUUUACUCUUUCUCCCGACUCACUACUGCAUUCGACUGGUCUUAA
Molecule: small RNA, 136 nt
Filed under: Saimiri boliviensis boliviensis (Bolivian squirrel monkey)
Lineage: Eukaryota; Metazoa; Chordata; Mammalia; Primates; Cebidae
Description: Y RNA (ENSSBOG00000011320.1)
Source: RNAcentral